UACAGAGGGGGCAAGCGUUGUUCGGAAUUACUGGGCGUAAAGGGCGCGUAGGCGGCCUGCUAAGUCGAACGUGAAAUCCCCGGGCUCAACCCGGGAACUGCGUCCGAUACUGGCAGGCUUGAAUUCGGGAGAGGGAUGCGGAAUUCCAGGUGUAGCGGUGAAAUGCGUAGAUAUCAGGAGGAACACCGGUGGCGAAGGCGGAUCUCUGGGCCUUACCUGACGCUGAGGCGCGAAAGCUAGGGGAGCAAACAGG
This 253-nucleotide ribosomal RNA is filed under the name uncultured bacterium. RNAcentral's name for it is "partial 16S ribosomal RNA". It matches the Rfam family "Bacterial small subunit ribosomal RNA", at positions 524 to 776 of the family's 1533-position model. The record is from RNAcentral.